Molecule: ribosomal RNA, 468 nt
Filed under: uncultured bacterium
Lineage: Bacteria
Description: partial 16S ribosomal RNA
Rfam family: Bacterial small subunit ribosomal RNA
Source: RNAcentral
GACGAACGCUGGCGGCGUGCUUAACACAUGCAAGUCGAACGGAAAGGCCCUGGUUUUGUGGGGUGCUCGAGUGGCGAACGGGUGAGUAACACGUGAGUAACCUGCCCUUGACUUUGGGAUAACUUCAGGAAACUGGGGCUAAUACCGGAUAGGAGCUCCUGCUGCAUGGUGGGGGUUGGAAAGUUUCGGCGGUUGGGGAUGGACUCGCGGCUUAUCAGCUUGUUGGUGGGGUAGUGGCUUACCAAGGCUUUGACGGGUAGCCGGCCUGGGAGGGGGACCGGCCACAUUGGGCCUGAGAUGCGGCGCAGUCUCCUACGGGAGGCAACAGUGGGGAAUAUUGCACAAUGGGCGGAAGCCUGAUGCAGCGACGCCGCGUGCGGGAUGACGGCCUUCGGGGUGUAAACCGCUUUCGCCUGUGACGAAGCGGGAGUGACGGUAACGAGUGAAGAAGCACCGGCUAACUACGUG